GCAUUGAUGGUAUAGUGGUUAACAUAGCUGUCUUCCAAGCAGUUGGCCCGGGUUCGAUUCCCGGCCAAUGCA
RNAcentral lists this transfer RNA (72 nucleotides) under Dipodomys ordii (Ord's kangaroo rat). Its description in RNAcentral is "tRNA-Gly (TCC) (tRNA-Gly-TCC-4-1)". It matches the Rfam family "tRNA". Rfam says of the family: Transfer RNA (tRNA) molecules are approximately 80 nucleotides in length. Their secondary structure includes four short double-helical elements and three loops (D, anti-codon, and T loops). Further hydrogen bonds mediate the characteristic L-shaped molecular structure. tRNAs have two regions of fundamental functional importance: the anti-codon, which is responsible for specific mRNA codon recognition, and the 3' end, to which the tRNAs corresponding amino acid is attached (by aminoacyl-tRNA synthetases). tRNAs cope with the degeneracy of the genetic code in two manners: having more than one tRNA (with a specific anti-codon) for a particular amino acid; and 'wobble' base-pairing, i.e. permitting non-standard base-pairing at the 3rd anti-codon position. The record is from Rfam by way of RNAcentral. Lineage: Eukaryota; Metazoa; Chordata; Mammalia; Rodentia; Heteromyidae.